Nomascus leucogenys (northern white-cheeked gibbon) is the source of this 222-nucleotide long non-coding RNA. RefSeq lists it as uncharacterized. Lineage: Eukaryota; Metazoa; Chordata; Mammalia; Primates; Hylobatidae. The record is from RefSeq and is a predicted model, not a curated record. The transcript has 3 exons.
CAGAUUUCUCUUGCACUUUGUUUUGUUUUGAUGUUUGGGAACUCAAUGUUAUUAUUAUGCUUCUUCUUUGGUCCUUAUUUGGGGUAUUCUGGCAAUGAAACCACAUUUCCUGAAAAUAAAUGUAUCUGAACUUAGUUUAUGGGUUAUUCAAGGAUGUUUUUGGUUAUUUGGAAUUGUCAUACUUAAAUACUUGACAUCUAAAAUUUUUGGUAUUACAGAUGA